This 10618-nucleotide long non-coding RNA is filed under the name Ananas comosus (pineapple). RNAcentral's name for it is "long non-coding RNA (ACOM_LNC023286)". Lineage: Eukaryota; Viridiplantae; Streptophyta; Magnoliopsida; Poales; Bromeliaceae. The record is from RNAcentral.
UAGAUAGAUAGAUAGAUAGAUAGAUAGAAAUGAAACUGCAACUAUGCUCUACUAUGCCAUCAAAUGCAAACAAUGCAUGGAAUAUCAUCUAGCAACAAGCCUACUAUCAUGCUAGCAUGCUUCAACGAUGUAAUGAAUACAAAUACGACAUAGUUAUGCAAUCCACUAACAUAUACUAUGUCUAAUCAGGGAUGAAUAGAAAUCCACUUAUGCUAUUCAUGUCAUUACCCCAUCCACUAGGCUACCCCGCCUAAGAUCUCAAAUCUCAUAGGUACUCACACCACAAUCUAGUAGGUGAAGAGGUGAAGAGCUACCCCGCUCUUCGCCCUGACUGAUAUCUCAAAUCUCACAGGUGAGGAGCUACCCCACUCUUAUCUCACCCGUCUCACAUCUCAAAGGUCAUAGAUGAAGAGCUACCCCGCUCUAAUCUCAUAGGUAAUGAGCUACCCCGCUCAUUCUCAUAAAUAAUGAGCUAACUCUAUCAAGUAUACAUGCAACUCUACUACGCUCAACAAGCUUAACAUGCUCAAUAUGCCCAAUAUGCUCAACUUGCAUAAUCCUCUUGAGUUUAUUACCCAAUCAUCUAGCUGGCCCAUAGGCGCGCCCUCGACUCACAACUCAAAUCCGUCUAUGAAGGGGGACUCGAACCACCCGAGGGAUUGUCUGCGGGACCCCACAUAGGCAAUCCCUUGGGACCCCACAUAGGCUAUCCCAAUCGUUUCACGUGCCAAGACUCCGGAGCUCGCACUACUUGUGCGGAGCGACCGCCACAAGCGCCGAACAGACUGUGUGAGUAUAAUCAAAUUCGUUUCCAACGAAGGUACCCGGUCACUACGACCAACAUGCACAAGUGUUCUUUUAACACUACGUUCUAAUGCCACUCGUCAAGUUGUUUACUUGGUAUACAUAUGCCACUCGUCAAGUAUGUACUUGGUUCACAUGUCACUUGCCAUAAUGCAAUUGUCCCAACUAUACUAGUCAUAUAUCCUCUAUGCAAGAUCAAGUUAUUGUUUAACUUAUCUCUAUAGGGUUCUAUGUCACAAACUCAUUCUCAUGCACUCUAAGUUCACAUGCCAAGCUUACUAUGCCGCAAUACAAGGGAGCAUGAAAGAAUAGUAAAAGUAACAUCUAAAUACCCUAACAUGCAUGAUACUAUAUAUGUAGGAUGUUCAACAUAAAAAUACUUAGACAUAGGGAGAAGCCCAGUUGCUUCGGGAUGACACCCCCCACCUUUUAUCGCUAUCACGAGGCUAGGGUUCCGAUUUCGUGAUUUUUGUAAGCUUUCGCCACGAGCUGCGGCAAUCUGUACCUUAACGGCUUCAUUCUUUAAUUUCUUCGCGUAUGCUCAUCGUAUCGCCAAACCGACUUCGCCAACGCGUCAGAAAACCUAGCAAUUAGGUUUAUACAUGAUUAAUUUAGAUCAAACCCUCACAUAUUGCAAAAUCCCAUUUUUGAGCCCUAACAUGCAAUUACCCCCAAAUAAUCCAAAUUAAAUGGAGCAACAUGCUAAGAAUGCUCAUUAGAGGAUACUAGAACACUUAAGGUUAAGGAUUAAGCCAAAUUCCAAAAGUUUACUAAAAUGUGAAUGCCGAGACGGAAGCACACCGCUCCAACGGGCGCACGAAAGCUCGAUCUGUCGCUCCCAACGCGUUCGCAAGCUCGUUCUCCGCCAACGCCGCGAAUUUGGGCGAAAGAUCUAGAGAGAUGAGAGAGUUAUUUAGAGAGAGAAAGUGAGGAUUUCUCUCACUACCACCAUGAACGUGUGCUUGUGGGGGUGGUGCUCGGUUGUGAAGAAGCCAAGUCACUAGAAGCUUCUACUUAUAGUCAACACCCCAAUAGUAGCAUACACUAUUCACUUCAGGCAGUUCGAAAUCUGAUAUCUUUCGCUGGAGCCCUCUGAAUAUCCGUUUGAGCUCAAAUUUGACAGUCAUGUUCGGUUUUGCUUAACUUAAUGAAAGAAAUUUUAAUAUUUCAGUUUCGACCCCGUUUGGUCAUCGAAAGCCGUACCGAACUAUAAUCUUUAUCAGAUCACUAUCGGAUUUUAUUUUUCACCUUCCGAGUGUCAGAAUGAUAUGAAACUUUAAAUCUAGCAUCAUAAAAAUAAUUCUGACAUAUCCUCCAGUUUUCAUAAUUUUCUGACACUGUACAUUUUCUGCUAAUUUAUCUGCCCCGUCUCUCACAGAAAAUUCUAAACCUUCUGUUUUCGCUCCGAUUUCAGCACAGGUCAUUCCCAACCUAUAUUUCACUUCUCUAAAUCCAAUAAAAAUAGUAUCUCAUACUAUUUUUAUUUAUUUUCACUUUUAUAUUUAAUAUCUAGUAUGUUACAUUCUGCCGCAACCUCACCGGAACCAUUUAAAUGUACACCGUAACUUCAUAGUUUUAGAAGUCCGGUACCUUACAUGUACUUAAUACCGGAAUGUGAGAAAUCCGCUUUUUGCCCUUAAUGGACGAUCUCAAUCCUUGCGCGCGACAACCUGAGCUAAAAUGAGGUUUUUCUUAAUUAGUGCAUCGUAGGCUUGUCGGAACACCAAUCCGAGCUUCCCAACGCGUCGGUUUUAUCUUCAAUUAGGAUUCUAUGCAAUCAAUUCUAAGCUAGGCUCCCAAUCCUACAAAAUACGAUCUUAGGCUCUACAUACACUGUUUCUAUACAAUUUCACAAAAUAUAUAGAGUAAUUCAACUUUUCACUAGCCCAAGAACCUCAAAAUAAUUAGUUUAGAGGAUUUACAUCAAUCCCUAAUAAAGGAUUACAAAAAUAUGCAUAGUAACUUAUUUUACUUCCUAGCUUCCAAAGCUCACAUCUGACAUACAUGGCACUUUUCUAGGUUCUCAUGGCUAAAUCUGCUUUUAGCAACCAUAUAAAGCAAACUUAGGCUUUAACAAUCUAAAAAAACCUUAAACUUAAUAAAGGAAUAACAACCAUUCACAUGUAUACUACACACAUAUAUACAUAACUCAACAUAUGGCUUGUUCUCUGGGGUUCAUGGCAACUUCAAGUUUUGGAAACCAAGAAGUUUACAACCAAUUUCUCCUUAGGUUAAGUAAACAUAAACUCUAUUAAAGCAACAGCCCCAGUUUCAUACAUGUGGCCAACAUGUUUUCUCUAAAUUUUCUUUCAUGUCAACAGAAGCUUUAACAUCUACAAUCCUUAGAGUCCAAGAGUUCCAAUUUAAAUCCUCAUUAAAGCACAUAACACGCCCUAAUUAACCAGGAAUUAUAUCAUUCUUAGCAAGAAAUACAACCAACCCACCUUAGGUUCCAAGCUCCAAAAAGGGUUCUUCUCAGCUCAAGCUUCUAUUCCACCAAAAUCCACCCACUCCACUAAUUCUCUAACAACUAGCCACCUUACAUUUGUAGAGAGAGAGAAGAAACCAAAAUGAAAAGAGAUGAAGAGAGAGAGAGUCUUGGUACGCAUGGAGGGUUGAGGUGCAGGGUUGUAGAUAAGAUCAGGGAACAUUGCAAUUAAACCCCUCCACAUGGCUGAAAUUACCUUGCAGCCCAACACUAACACAAUUUUUGGUUUAGUAGUUCGGAAUCUGAUACUUUUCGCUGGAGCCUUUCUGAAUGUCAGUUUGCGCUCAAAUUUAACAGUCAGGCUCGGUUUAACAUAACAAGAACUAAAAAAUUUUAAUCUUUCAGUUCCGACCAUUUUUGGUCACCGAAUGCUCUACCGAACUGUAAUCUCUAGCAGAUAACAGUCGGAUUUUAUUUUUUACCUUCCGGGUGUCAGAAUGACAUGAAACUUUAAAUCUAGCCUCAUAAAAAUAAUUCUGACAUAUUCUUCAAUUUUCAUAAUUUUUUGACACUAUUCAUUUUCUGCUAAAAUACCAGCCCCAUUCUUUUACAGAAAAUUCUAAAUAUUCUGUUUUCGCUCCGAUUUCAACACGAGUCAUCCCAAACUUAUAUUUUACACCCUUAAGUCCAAUAAAAAUAGUAUCUCACCCCAUUUUUAUUCACACUUAAUUUUAUAUUAUUUUGCUCACUUUAAUCAACAGAAACCUCAUAGUCCAAUAAUUUUCCUUCGAAGUCGUUUCGCGCCCAAUUUGCGCCGAAACACUCAUUUAUCUUCGGAAUUCAUUCCCACGCAUUCAAAAUCACUUGAGGAAGAUACAAAACCAGCUCAACUUUACUUUGAUCCUCUAGAUCAAAGUUGACAUCGCAACUCCAAAUUUUCAUAUAUUACAAAGCUUACCUCUAAGUUUGCUCCUUUCUUGCACUAGAGGGGAAGAAGAAGAAGUCACUCCACUCCAAUGGCUUCUUCUCCACCUUCCUUGCCUUUCUUUUUCCUUUCCUUCUCCUUCUUCUUCUCUUUCUUUCCUUUCCUUUCUUCUCUUCUUUAUCUUCUAGAGAGAGAAAGAGAGAUGAGAGAGUGUGAGAGGGAGUGAAAUGAGAGAAGUAUCUCAUUUUCCCCCAUACUAUACCCUAUGGGUUGCAAAAUUACAGUUAAACCCCUCAACUUUCAUCUUGUUACACUCCCCAAACUGGGCAUUUUUCGUGCUCGGGGACCGGUCUCCGCGACUUAGGACCGGUUCCAGAGAGCUCUCCCCGCGGGCAGCCAAGGCUACGUGCGACGCAACCGGUCUCUCCCCCAGAGGGACCGGUCUCUCGGUGACCAGUCUCUUCCCGCAGGGACCGGUUCCCGAGAGCUGGCUUUCUGGGACUUAGCCGAUUUUUCGGCUUUCUCACGUUGCACGCGUUCGGGGACCGGUCUCUCCCACCAGGGACCAGUCACCGAGAGCUCAAAAACUGCAGUUUGCAGAUUUUUGAUUCUUUAGCUCUCGAAAACCUCCCACAACGCACUUUUGACCAUUUUAACACCUUCGGACUUUUCGAAGUGUACCAUUCUCGCACUUUGGUCAAUUUGACUAAAGUUCGAUAUUUAUUUUUUGAAUUUUCGGUAUAUUACAAAUCUAGAGAGAGAAAGGGAGGUUUCUCUCUCCUUCUCCAUGCGUGCGUGUGUUGUGGGGUGGUGUGGUCGGCUGAGGAAGAAGAAGAGGUCAACACUCCUCUUUAGUCAACACCCAAAACACUAUUCACUUCGGGCAGUUUGAAAUCUGAUAUCUUUCGUCGGAGCUCCCUGAAUAUCCGUUUGAGCUCAAAUUUGACAGUCAUGUUUGGUUUACUUAACGAGUCCAAAAAAAUUUUAAUAUUUCAGUUUCGACCCCGUUUGGUCACCGAAAACUAUACCGAACUGUAAUCUUUAUCAGAUAGCUGUCGGAUUUUAUUUUCCACCUUCCGGGUAUCAGAAUGAUAUGAAACUUUAAAUGUAGCCUCAUAAAAAUAAUUCUGACUUAUCCUCCAGUUUUCAUAAUUUUCUGACACUGUGCAUUUUCUGCUAAUUUAUCUGUCCCGUUUCAAACAAAAAAUUCUAAAUCUUCUGUUUUCAUUCUGAUUUCAGCACAUGUCACUUCUGACUUAUAUUUUACUUCUCUAAAUCCAAUAAAAAUAGUUUCCCACACUAUUUUUAUUUUUAUACCAAAAUCUAGUAUGUUACACUGCCACAAUCUUUUAAAGCAGAGUAUACUGAGUAUGAGGAGUUGGAGGAAGAAGUUGGGCUCAAUGUGGCCCAAUUACAGCUAGAGGAUACCAAACCGGCCAAUGCGGUGGUUUUCGAGAAACUAUCGGCCAUGCAGAUAAGAUUUGUAAGGCCUUUUUUCAUACGGGCCUUAGUUGAAGGUCGGCCGGUAGGCCGAGUUAUGAUAGACGGCGAAGCGAUGGUCAAUGUCAUGCCCACUUCAUUCUUUAAGAAGUUAGGCAAGGAUGAAGAUGAGUUGAAGCCCACUGACACGAUCAUGACCGACUUCACUGGGAGCGGUAAGCAAGCUCGAGGGGUGCUUACGACCGAGAUCACGGUAGGUUCCAAAACUUUACGAACUGCAUUCUUUGUGGUUGAUGCAGAUAGUCAAUAUAACUGUCAUGCCCCGAGACCGCUACCAAUGCGGUCCAGUUCGGGCGCGUCGAACAGACGCCGGACGGACAGCACUUCCCCUGUCCGCCCAAGGCUCAAAAAUAAGAUCAUGUACAUAGAAUUGCCUAGGAAUAAAUUCAAUUACAUACAUGAUAAAGCACGGAGCACUAUAAGUACUAACAAGUAAGAGUAAGGCACAAGUAUACUAUACAAGUGAAAUAAGGAGAGAUACAUCUAUCUACUACAUCCACAAGGCAUUCAACAUUUAGAUCCUUGAUUACAUUUACAUCUCCAAAAUGAACAUUCAUGAUAAUCUCCCAAAUACACAAGCAACCUCCCAAAGUACAUCAUAUGUCACGGGGUACACGAGGGUACACUAAUGCAAGUGGAAGCUACUAACUAUACCUAGGGUGCGAUGCCCUUACCACGGUCCUCUGCCGGUGCUCUCUCGCUAGGCCCUGCAACAAAGUGGGGUGAGAACUAUAUAAACAUAGUUCCCAGUGGGUUCAGCCGCCGACUCCGCCGAUGUCACGCCCCGGGACCGGCGGAGGCCCUCCCGGUAGCGUGCCCAGACCCGCCAUAUGUCUACACAUAUAAGGCGUCUACAAUAAAAGCGGAAGAAAAGCAAGAAAUAGAACAAAUAAAAGAAGGGAAAUAACCAGCAACUAAUGAUAUCAGAGCAAAUAUAGUUCUAACAUCUACACCAAAGUAAAGAGAUAAGGAUAGACAAUAAAGGAAAACAUAAGUAGUACAAUAUCUGUCUCUAGUACAAAAAUGGUGGUCUCUAUACAUAUACGGUACAACUCUCAACCUCUCACAAGCAUAUAACACGAGAGGUAGACCACCUAUCGAACGAUCCCUCGGUAAGCACGCUAGCCCGAGGCGAUACCCUUUCCGCGAUCCCUGGCCUCUCCCUGCGUGGAAGGCUCCAUGCAAUUACCCCCAAUAAUCCAAAAAUUAAAUGGAGCAACAUGCUAACAAUGCUCCAUUAGAAGGAUACUAGAACACUUAAGGUUAGGAUUAAGCCAAAUUCAAAAGUUUACAUAAAUGUGAAUGCGGACGGAAGCACAGUAAUCGGCUCCAAACGGCGCACGAAAGCUCGAUCUUCGCUCCACUCAACAUAGCGUUCCAAGCCGUUCUCCCAACAUGCCGCGAAAUAUGUGCGAUAAAAGUCUAGAGAGAUUAAGAAGAUUAUUUAGCGAAGAAAAUGAGGAUUUGCUCUCACUAACACCAUGAAACCGUGUGCUGUGGGGUGGGUCGUUUGGAAAACCAAUCACUAGAAGUUCUACUUAUAAGUCAACAACCCAAUAGUAGCAUACACUAUUCACCCUUCCCAGACAUUCGAAAUCUAUAUCUUCGCUGUGAGCCCUCUGAAUAUUCCGUUAGCUCAAAUUCUGACAGUCAGUCGUUUGCUUAACUUAAUGAAAGAAAUUCUUAAAUAUUUCAGUUUCGAGCCCUGGGACUCGUUUUCCGGUUUGGUCAUCGAAAGCCCGUACCUGAACUAUAAUCUUUAUCAGUAUAAACUAUCGAUUUUAUUUUUCACGCUCCUGAGUGUCAGCAAGAUUGAAACUUUAAAUCUACAUCAUAAAAAUAAUUCUGACAUAAUCCUCCAGUUUUCAUAAUUCUGACACUGGUAAUUUUCAUGCUAAUUUAUCUCCCAGUCUCUUCACAGAAAUCUAAAACCAUUAUUCGUCUUUCGCUGCCGAUUUCACAUCAGUGUCAUUGCCCAGCCUAUAUUUCACCUUCUCAUAAAUCCAAUAAAAUCAGUAUCUCAUACUAUUUUUAUUUAUUUUUCCCCUUUCACUUUAUAUUUUAAUAUCUAGCUAAUGUUACAUUCUGCCGCAACCUCAACGCGAACACAUUCAAAUCGCUUCCAAAUCAAAUGUCACCGUAUGCUUCAAUAAUAUAGAAGUCCGGUACCCGUUACAUGUACUUAAUACGGGAAUGUGAGAAAUACCGCUUUGCCUUAAUGGACCCGAUCUCAAUUCUGCGCGCAGACAACUCUAGCAAAUGAGGUUUUUUAUCUUAAUUAGUGCAUCGUAGCGCUUGUCGGAACACCAAUCCGAGCUUCCCACGCGUCGGUUUAUCUUCAUUAGGAUUUUACUGCAAUCAAUUCUAACUAGGCUCUCCAAUCCACAAAAUAACGUCUUAGCUCUACAUUACACGUUUCUUAUACAAUUUCACAAAAUAUUUAUAGAGUAAUUCAACGUUUUCAACUAGCCCAAAAGAACUCAAAUAAUAGUCUAAGAACGGAUUUACAUCAAUCCUCAAUAAAGAUUAAAUGCACCCCAAAACUAUCAUAGUAAACAUUAUUUUAUCUAGCUUCCAAGCUCAACAUCUGACAUACAUGGGCACUCUUUCAGGUUCUCAUGCUUAAAUGCCUUUUAGCACCAUAUAAAGCAAAACUAGGCUUAACAAUCUAAAAAACUCUAAACUUAUAAAGGAAUAACUACCAUUCAACAUUAUACUACACAUCAUAUAUACAUAACUCACAUAUGGCUUUUCUCGGGGUCAUGGCAACUUCAAGUUUGGAAACCAAAGAAGUUUAACAACCAAUUUCUCCUAGGUUGAAGUAAACAUAACUCUCAUUAAGCAACAGCCGCCAGUUUUCAUACAUUGUGGCCAACAUGUUUUCUCUAAUUUUCUUUCAUGUCAACAAGCUUUAACAUCUACCAAUCCUUAAGUCCCAAGAGUUCAAUUUAAAUCCCUCAUUAAAUGCACUAAACACGGCCUAAUUACUCAGUGAAUUAUAUCAUCUUAGGAAGAAAUAGCAACCAACACACCUUAGGUUCCAAGCUCCAAAAAGGUUCUUCUCAGCUCAAGCUCUAUUCCAUCCAAAAACCAAACCACUCCAUCUAAUUCUCUAACAACUAGCCACUUACAUUUGAAUAAAAGAGAAGAAGAAGAAAACAAUGAAAAGAGAUGAGAAAGAGAGUAAAACUUGGUACGGCAUAGGAGGGGUUGAGUGCAGGUUGUGAUAAAAUCAGGGAACAGAUUGCAAUUAAAACCCUCACACACAUAGGCUAGGAAAUUACCUCGCAGCCGGCACACACUCACCACACAUUUUGGUUUAAGUAGUUCGGUAAUCUGAUACUUUUCGUCUGGAUGCUUUCUGAAUUGUCAGUUGCGUCAAAUUUAACAGUCAGGCUCGGUUUAAAACAUAACAAGGAAAUAAAAUUUUAAUCUUUCAGUUCGACCAUUUUUUGGUCACCGAAUGCCUCUACGCGAACUGUAAUCUCUAGGGCAGAUAACAGUCGGAUUUUAUUUUAACCUUCCGGUGUCAAUAAUGACAUGAAACUUUAAUCUAGCCUCCAAUAAAAAUAUUCUGACAUAUUCUUCAAUUUUCAUAAUUUUUUGACACAUUCAUUUCUGCUAAAAUACCACCCCAUUUUUACAGAAAAUUCUAAAUAUCUCUUUUUUUCGCUCCGACUUUCAAACAAGUCACCCAAAUAUAUUUACAACCCUUAAUCCAAUAAAAAUAGUAUCUCACACCCAUGUUUUAUCACUACUUAAUUUAAUUAUUUCGCUCACUUUAAUGCAACAGAAACCUCAUAGUCCAAUAAUCUUUCCUUCGAAAGACAUCGUUUCGCGCCCAAUUUGCGACGGAAACACUCAUUUAUCUUCGAAUUCAUUCCACGGCAUAUCAAAAUCACUUGAGCGAAGAAUUACAAACCAGCUCAAAACUUCUACUUUGAUCCUCUAAUCAAAGUUGACAUCGCAACUCCCAAAACCAAAUUUCAUAUAUUACAAGCUUACCUCUAAGUUUGUCUCUUUCUUGGCACUAAGAGAGGAAGAGAAGAAGUCACUCCACUCCAUAUGGCUUCUCUCCUCCACCUUCCUUGCUUGUUCUUUUCCUUUCAUCUCCCUUCUUCUUCCUUUCUUUCUUUCCUUUCUUCUCUUCUUUUAUCUUGCUCAACAUGCUUAACAUGCUCGAUAUGCCCAAUAUGCUCAACUUGCAUAAUCCUCUUGAGUUUAUUACCCAAUCAUCCGGCUGGCCCAUAGGCGCGCCCUCGACUCACAACUCAAAUCCGUCUAUGAAGAGGGAUUCGAACCACCCGAGGGUUGUCUGCGGGACCCGACAUAGGCUAUCCCUUGGGACCCCAAAUAGGCUAUCCCAAUCGUUUCAUGUGCCAAAACUCUGGAGAUCGCACUAGUUGUGCGGAGCGACCGCCACAAGCGCUGAACAGACUGUGUGAGUAUGAUCAAAUUCGUUUCCAACGAAGGUACUCGGUCAUAUGACCAACAUGCACAAGUGUUCUUUUAACACUAAGUUAUAAUGCCAGUCGUCAAGUUGUUUACUUGGUUCACAUGUCACUUGCCAUAAUGCAAUUGUCCCGACUAUACUAGUCAUAUGUCAUCCAUGCAAGAUCAAGUUAUUGUUUAACUUAUCUCUAUAGGGUUCUAUGUCACAAACUCAUUCUCAUGCACCCUAAGUUCACAUGCCAAGCUUACUAUGCCGCAAUACAAGGGAGCAUGCAAGAAUAGUAAAAGUAACAUCUAAAUACCCUAACAUGCAUAAUACUAUAUAUGCAGUAUGUUCAACAUAGAAAUACUUAGACAUAGGGAGAAGCUCAGUUGCUUCGGGAUGACACCCCCCACCUUUUAUCGCUGUCACAAGGCUAGGGUUCCGAUUUCGUGAUUUUUGGAAGCUUUCGCCGCGAGCUGUGGCAAUCUGUACCUUAACGGCUUCGUUCUUUAAUAUCUUCACGUAG